This 622-nucleotide ribosomal RNA is filed under the name uncultured fungus. Its description in RNAcentral is "eukaryotic LSU rRNA". It matches the Rfam family "Eukaryotic large subunit ribosomal RNA", at positions 24 to 664 of the family's 3401-position model. The record is from RNAcentral. Lineage: Eukaryota; Fungi.
CCCGCUGAACUUAAGCAUAUCAAUAAGCGGAGGAAAAGAAACCAACAGGGAUUACCUCAGUAACGGCGAGUGAAGCGGUAACAGCUCAAAUUUGAAAUCUGGCCUCACGGUCCGAGUUGUAAUUUGUAGAGGAUGCUUCGGGCGUGGUCCGGUCUAAGUUCCUUGGAACAGGACGUCAUAGAGGGUGAGAAUCCCGUAUGUGACCGGGUGCCGCUGUCCAUGUGAAGCUCCUUCGACGAGUCGAGUUGUUUGGGAAUGCAGCUCAAAAUGGGUGGUAAAUUUCAUCUAAAGCUAAAUAUUGGCCAGAGACCGAUAGCGCACAAGUAGAGUGAUCGAAAGAUGAAAAGCACUUUGGAAAGAGAGUUAAACAGUACGUGAAAUUGUUGAAAGGGAAGCGCUUGCAACCAGACUUGCACGCGGUCGAUCAUCCUGCCUUCUGGCUGGUGCACUCGAUCGCGUUCAGGCCAGCAUCGGUUUUGGUGGUUGGAUAAAGGCUCUGGGAAUGUAGCUUCUCUCGGGGAGUGUUAUAGCCCAGGGUGCAAUGCAGCCUACCGGGACCGAGGACCGCGCUUCGGCUAGGAUGCUGGCGUAAUGGUUGUAAGCGACCCGUCUUGAAACACGG